CUCAGGCAGUGUAUCAACAGGUGCUUCCAGAGAUGAGUUUGUGAAGCCCACACUUAAAUCACCAGUGAAUACCAACUCACCUGGAGAUUUUGCGUAUGAGGCAUGAAAGCAGGAGAAAUUAAUCAAAGCAUAUGAAGCCAGGAAGAAAUUGGAGAUGAUGGGAGCAAUGGUGUUCAACUGAGCUGCAAGACACAAUUCAGAUAUCUCCUGAGAUGUUGGCUCCCGCGAGAAUGCCAGUGGCAGCUGGGAAGAAGAUGGCAAACACUGAGAAAAAUCCUUCUCCACUUCUGAAAUCUGGUCCAAAGUUUUCUGCAAAUAUUGAUGCUGCAAAUACAGUUCUAAGCUUUUGUCACCG
RNAcentral lists this long non-coding RNA (355 nucleotides) under Gallus gallus (chicken). RNAcentral's name for it is "long non-coding RNA NONGGAT001607". Lineage: Eukaryota; Metazoa; Chordata; Aves; Galliformes; Phasianidae. The record is from RNAcentral.